Molecule: ribosomal RNA, 489 nt
Filed under: Coranus hammarstroemi
Lineage: Eukaryota; Metazoa; Arthropoda; Insecta; Hemiptera; Reduviidae
Description: partial 16S ribosomal RNA
Rfam family: Bacterial large subunit ribosomal RNA
Source: RNAcentral
AAGGUCUAACCUGCCCAAUGAUUAAAUUUAAUGGCCGCGGUAUUUUAACUGUGCUAAGGUAGCAUAAUCAUUUGUCUUUUAAUUAAAGGCUAGAAUGAAUGGUUGGACGAGGUAUAAUCUUUCUUUGAUUUAUUUGUUGAAUUUAAUUUUUUAGUUAAAAAGCUAAAAUGUUUUUGAGGGACGAGAAGACCCUAUAGAUCUUUAUAUUUUAUUUUAUUUUUUAUAUUGGUGAAUUAAUUAUUUUAAUAAGAUAAUUUAUUUGGUUGGGGUGACUGUAGAAAUUAAUUAACUUCUACUAUAAUUUUUUCAUUAAUUUAUGUAAUUUUGAUCCAUUAAUAAUGAUUAUAAGAUUAAGUUACCUUAGGGAUAACAGCGUAAUUUCUUCGGAGAGUUCUUAUCGAUGAAGAAGUUUGCGACCUCGAUGUUGGAUUAAAAUAAGUAAUAGGUGUAGCAGUUUAUUUACUAGGUCUGUUCGACCUUUAAUUUUUU